This is a long non-coding RNA of Heterocephalus glaber (naked mole-rat), 647 nucleotides long. RefSeq lists it as uncharacterized. The record is from RefSeq and is a predicted model, not a curated record. NCBI's taxonomy places the organism in Eukaryota, Metazoa, Chordata, Mammalia, Rodentia, Bathyergidae.
UUCUCAGACCUCCGCCACCAGCCCCAGUAGCAGCGGCAGCAGCGGCGACAACGACAACCGGAAGCUGGGGAAGGCGGGAGCCAGAAGGUAUAGCGAAAGCAGGUCGAACGGAAGUGACGUUUAUGGGCGUGGUCUCGCAUGGACGGGACGGAGUUCAACCCUGGCUCUGGAGAGGGGAACCCGAGGACCGUGUCAGUGAGACCGCCGAGGUGGAUCAGGAAAACUCUGUGCGUGUUUCAAUCAACACUACUUUCCUUGAGCUAACUUAAACUUACUACUCAUUUGUAUCUAUUAAAGUGCUGGGGACCUCCUGCAUGCAAGCAAAACAGCCAGUUCCCCACUGCUCACAGGUCUGUCAGCAUACGAGGUAUCCUUGCUCCCUGUGGCAGCUUCAACACUCUCUGCAGGACUUUCCUACCCACCACUGCCAGCACCUGCAUCCCUCAAGUGGCAUAGGGGCCACGUGCAUGCCCAGCCGUGGAGCAGCAGGCUGUGAGAGGCCAUAACUAAUGGUUUUCUCUUCUGUCCAAGAUGGGCGUGGUGGUGCACAUCUGUAAUCCCAAGGCAGAAGCAGAAGGAUCACUGUGAGUUCAAGGCCUGCCUGGAGUAUAUAGUGAGUCCCUGUCUCAAAAGACAACCAAAUAAAC